CAGUUCUGAACAAUUAAAAUACUUCGGUAAUUAUAGAUCUGUAUCUAGAGUUUCCUAGCUGCAGUGUCCUCCAGCACUUGCUAAAAUAGCAGCAUGGAUACACGGUCAAAAUGCAGAGAUCUUCACAAGCAGUUUCUGACAGGGAUGAUUUAGGGUCGUCAUUCUUCUCACUGGGAUGGCCAAAUCAAUUAAAAUUUCCACUGGAAGUGUAUCAUCUACUUUAUCUUUCUAACAAAGCAGAAUGUAAUCUACAGUGGUGUAGGAAGAAACUCAACUCUUGCUCACUUGAAUAAUUCUGCUAAACUCACAGCAGAAAAACUUGCAGUUGUCAGGAGCUGGACUCACAUGCCCAGGCCAGGGUAUUUAAGGGAUGAUGUAUAACUGCAGUACAAAAGGAAUUUUCUUCUUGUUUUUGUCUAUAAUCAGCUAACCUCGCUGAAGACAUCUUUUAAUGUAAAAGCUGGGAAGGUUUAUCCUGAACAGAGACAAUAUGAGCAGAAGUUUCUCCUGCCGUCACCUGACAGUAAAACAUUCCUCUUCUGUGGCCCUUCCCACAAACUGCAGCUGGGUGUAGGGGAAACCCGACGAGGGUGGCUUUGAUGCAGACUGAUAGACAUUGCUUGCACUGAAAUUCUGCAGACUUUUUGUAUGCACAGACUUCGUGCAUGACGGCAAGAUUCAUAGAGAAAAACUGAAAGAAGAAGAUGAUUUUUUGUAAGAUCUGGACUGUAUGAAUUAAUAAAUUCUAGUUGUCCUGGCUCUUAGGAAUUCCAUUCUGUCUAAAUUUCAGUUUUGUUUUCUACUUUCCCUCCCCAGUAGAGUUGAACCUGGGAAUAGCAUCGCUCAAUGGCUCGUUAGUUUGAUAAAGUGGUAAAAGUGACUAUAGCUACAAUGGGUACUUCUGGCUCAGAAGCAUUUAUAGAUCUCAAGGGAAUUGUGAAAAACACCAGAAAGUCUUUAGUUUUUUCAGAAGAUAACAACCAAUCUGCAUUCAGAAAAAAAGAAUGGAAACAGAAAUGUAAAGAGCUGAGAUGCGCAGGAAGGGUGAGUACUGCCAAGAAGCAGCUUGCAAAUAAAAACUGUUUGCAGAUAAUAGAUUUAAUAAUAAUAAUAUUAAAGUUUUGAUUUUAGAAUAGUUUAGAGAUACUCCAAUUCAGCAAAAAUCUCAAGUCUACAAAACUCUCAGCAAAUAAAAAGGUGGGGGGGGGCA
Molecule: long non-coding RNA, 1210 nt
Filed under: Numida meleagris (helmeted guineafowl)
Lineage: Eukaryota; Metazoa; Chordata; Aves; Galliformes; Numididae
Description: lncRNA (ENSNMEG00000000933.1)
Source: RNAcentral